GCGGGUGUAGUUCAAUGGUAGAACACCAGCCUUCCAAGCUGGAUACGUGGGUUCGAUCCCCAUCACCCGCUCCA
The sequence is a transfer RNA, 74 nucleotides long. It matches the Rfam family "tRNA". From Rfam's summary of the family: Transfer RNA (tRNA) molecules are approximately 80 nucleotides in length. Their secondary structure includes four short double-helical elements and three loops (D, anti-codon, and T loops). Further hydrogen bonds mediate the characteristic L-shaped molecular structure. tRNAs have two regions of fundamental functional importance: the anti-codon, which is responsible for specific mRNA codon recognition, and the 3' end, to which the tRNAs corresponding amino acid is attached (by aminoacyl-tRNA synthetases). tRNAs cope with the degeneracy of the genetic code in two manners: having more than one tRNA (with a specific anti-codon) for a particular amino acid; and 'wobble' base-pairing, i.e. permitting non-standard base-pairing at the 3rd anti-codon position.